CUAGAGGGACCUGGCACCCAGACCACUUCAUUAAGCUGAAGUGGUCUGGGUGCCUACAGUGGUCCAUUAAGUAUGAUUUAUAUAGCGGCAACAAAUUCUGCAGCACUGUACAAUGGGUGGACUAACAAACACGUAGGCGCAAUGAGCUUACAUGCUAGAGGUAGUGGGAUAUAGUGACACAAAAGGGUAGGGUAGAAAAGAAGGUUGCUAGGAUAGUAUUCACUGUAGACUUGUGUUUUUCUAAUCUGUAGACUUGUGGGUUUUUUUAAUACAUAAAGGUGGAGCUAUUUUUAAUUGAUGAAGAAGUGAGUUUUUAAUGAUUUUUUGAAGGAGUGUAGACUGGGUGAAAGUCUAAUGGAGAAGGGAAUUAAACAGGAAAGGUUGCUGCUCUAGAGAAGUCUUGACGGCGAGCAUCAGAGGUGGGAGUAUGACCAGAGGAUAGACGUCGGUCUUCGGCAGAGCGUAGGGGCCUAGAUUGAACGUACUUGUGUAUUAGCGAGGAUAGAUAGGUUCAAACAGCAUUAUGUAGAGAUUUGUAUGCAAGAGCCAGAAUUUUAAAUUAAGCCCUAUAACUUAUGGGAAGCCAAUGCAGGGACUGACAGAGGGGUAAGGUGUUGUAGGUGCGGGCCGAGAGGAAGAUGAGCUUCAUCGUUGCAUUCAUUAUAGACGGUAACGGGGCAAGUUGGGAGCACGUAAGAGCACUGAGAAGCGGAUUGCAGUAGUCGAAGGAAAAGAGGAUAGCGGCAUGGACCAUCCCCUUGGCAUUAAAUAGUGGAGGAUGCACGCAAUGUUUUUGAGAUGGGAGUGGCAGGAUUUGGCGAUCGACUGGACAUGAGUCGUGAUGGAAAGGUCAGCGUCAAAGAGAACACCUAGGCAGUAUAGCGCUGUUAACGUGAAAGGAGACUGAAACAGGAAUAGCAAUACAUGAGAGAUGAAAGAACAGAAGUUCUGUUUUGGACAGGUUGAGUUUAAGGAAGUGGGCAGCCAUCCAGUUGGAAAUAGCAGAGAGUCAGUUAGAGACAUGAGUCAAGAGGGGUGGCGAGAGAUCUGAAGAGGACAGAUAGAUUUGCAUGUCAUGCGCAUUGAAAUGAUAUUGGAAGUCAAAGGAGUUGAUGAGUUUACCAAGGGAGGCAGUAUAGAUCAAGAACAGUAGGGGACAAAGGACUGAAUCUUGGGGAACACCAACAGAGAAAGGUUCGGGAAAAGAGGCAGAGCCAGAGAAAGAAACAUUGUAAGAGCUAUGGGAGAGGUAGGAUGAGCACCAAGAGAGAGCAAUAUCUCGUAGACCGAGAUUACAGUAGAUGAGAAGAAGCUGUUGAUGAUCAACAUUGUCAUAAGCAGCAGAAAGGUUAAGGAGAAUUAGGACAGAAUAGUGACCACGAGAUUUUGCAGCGAGUAGAUCAUUGGAUACUUUGGUCAGAGCUGUUUCCACAGAGUAAUGAGCACGGAAAGCAGACUGAAGCUGUCGAGCAGAGAGUUGGAUUUGAGGAAGUCUGUCAAUCUCAUACACAACUCUCUCAAGGAUCUUGAACGCAUAAGGUAGUAGCGAGAUAGGGUGGUAGUUAGACAGUGUGGGUGCCAUGACUGUAGGUUUAAGCCUGCAAUUGAAAACAUUGCUGUUCUCCAGGAAUGGCAAUGUAUGUAUUGCAAGGUUAAAACGUCUUUAGGGGCUUUCAUACUGCCAGCCACAAGAGGUGGUUCUGCCAAAAUAGAUUGAGUUAAAGGGACACUAUUGGCACCCAGACCACUUCAUCUUAUUGAACUGUCCCUGUUCCCUUUACCCUGCAAUGUAAAACAGUAGCAUUGUUUACAUUGAAGUGUUAUGACUGCCUCUAGUGGCUGUAUACCAGAGCCAUUUUGCCUCACAUGCACACGGUCUACCCAAUGUUUUCCUAUGGGAAGUAUUUGAUUGGUUGACAGAGCACCACAGCUAGGGAGAAAUGGAAAGUAAAUCAACUUCCUCCUUCCCAUGAGGGGAGGGGUAUCAGUAACCUAACUAGUUAGCAGGUCACUAUAGCAUUCGGAAUACAUUUGCAUCCCUUACUUCUUGUACCACUUCCCCACUCCCUUUAGAAUGUAAGCUUGUUUGAGCAGGACUCUCAACACCCCCUGUUUCUAUGCGUCCAACACGUCUUGUUGCAAAUACAUGUCUGUUAGUACAACGCUAAGGAAUUUGUUGGCACUUUAUAAAUAAUACUUAUAAUACUGAACUUAAUAAUAAUACUAUAGUGUUCCUUUGCAGGAAUACUGCAAGCACAUGUGGAACCCACUAUUGUAGUUAGAUAAAAUUAAAAGAAUACAUGAAAGUUUCUGACUCCC
RNAcentral lists this long non-coding RNA (2319 nucleotides) under Pelobates cultripes (western spadefoot toad). The record is from RNAcentral. Lineage: Eukaryota; Metazoa; Chordata; Amphibia; Anura; Pelobatidae.